CGAGCAACGCCGCGUGAACGAUGAAGUAUUUCGGUACGUAAAGUUCUUUUAUUAGGGAAGAAUAAAUGAUGGAAAAAUCAUUCUGACGGUACCUAAUGAAUAAGCCCCGGCUAACUAUGUGCCAGCAGCCGCGGUAAUACAUAGGGGGCAAGCGUUAUCCGGAAUUAUUGGGCGUAAAGGGUGCGUAGGCGGUUAAAUAAGUUUAUGGUCUAAGUGCAAUGCUCAACAUUGUGAUGCUAUAAAAACUGUUUAGCUAGAGUAAGAUAGAGGCAAGUGGAAUUCCAUGUGUAGUGGUAAAAUGCGUAAAUAUAUGGAGGAACACCAGUAGCGAAGGCGGCUUGCUGGGUCUUUACUGACGCUGAGGCACGAAAGCGUGGGGAGCAAACAGGAUUAGAUACCCUGGUAGUCCACGCCGUAAACGAUGAGUACUAAACGUUGGGUAAAACCAGUGUUGAAGUUAACACAUUAAGUACUCCGCCUGAGUAGUACGUACGCAAGUAUGAAACUUAAAGGAAUUGACGGGACUCCGCACAAGCGGUGGAUCAUGUUGUUUAAUUCGAAGGUACCCGAAAAACCUCACCAGGUCUUGACAUGCUUCUGCAAAGCUGUAGAAACACAGUGGAGGUUAUCAGUUGCACAGGUGGUGCAUGGUUGUCGUCAGCUCGUGUCGUGAGAUGUUGGGUUAAGUCCCGCAACGAGCGCAACCCUUAUUGUUAGUUACCAGCACGUAAUGGUGGGGACUUUAGCAAGACUGCCAGUGAUGAAUUGGAGGAAGGUGGGGACGACGUCAAAUCAUCAUGCCCCUUAUGACCUGGGCUACAAACGUGAUACAAUGG
This 836-nucleotide ribosomal RNA is filed under the name 'Solanum phureja' aster yellows phytoplasma. RNAcentral's name for it is "bacterial SSU rRNA". It matches the Rfam family "Bacterial small subunit ribosomal RNA", at positions 388 to 1233 of the family's 1533-position model. Lineage: Bacteria; Bacillati; Mycoplasmatota; Mollicutes; Acholeplasmatales; Acholeplasmataceae. The record is from RNAcentral.